UUUCCGUAGGUGAACCUGCGGAAGGAUCAUUAAAGAGUCCACAGGCAGACGGGGUAAAACCCGCCUGCCUGAACACUCCACCCUUUGUUUACAUUACCUUUGUUGCUUUGGCAGGCCCGUCUUCGGACCACCGGCUUCGGCUGGUCAGCGCCUGCCAGAGGACCUAAAACUCUUGUUAAUUUUAUUGUCUGAGUACUAUAUAAUAGUUAAAACUUUCAACAACGGAUCUCUUGGUUCUGGCAUCGAUGAAGAACGCAGC
Molecule: unclassified non-coding RNA, 259 nt
Filed under: uncultured fungus
Lineage: Eukaryota; Fungi
Description: sequence contains ITS1, 5.8S rRNA gene
Rfam family: 5.8S ribosomal RNA (bases 211-259)
Source: RNAcentral